AUAUAAAAGUAAAUUACAUAAUUAAAAAAUAUUAUUUUAAUUAUAUUAGAAAUUAUAGUAUUCUAAAAUUAACUAUAGGAUUAAUUUUAUAAAGAUCGUUAUAAAUAUAUUGAAUUGUAAAUAUAUUCCUACAAAGUUUAACUUUCAUAUGUUGUACCCACAAAAGUCCUGAUGUCUCAAAUAUGUUCCUUUAUUUUGUUACCGUUAAAACAUUAUUUAUUUUAUAAGUGAAAUGACCUUUUUGCCAUCACAAAUAUAUCCCUUCAAAAAUCUCAAUUGUUAAUUGAAGAGGGGUUAAAAGAUCAAUUCAUCUUAUUAACUAAUUAGGAUUUAGUAUUUUAUCUAUGAUUAACUAAUUUUUUCUAACGGAUCCUAAUGGUAAGAAUAUAUUUGCAGGGACAUAUAAAAGUUGAACUUUGUAGGGAUAUAUUUACAAUUUACUAUAUUUGCAGGAACCUGUAUGAAAUUAACCUUUAUCUAUAUUAUCUAACAUUAAAAUAUUAAACUUUUAUUUAUUACAGACAAAAUAAAAGUACUUUUUUCCUCCAAAUCAGAUAACUA
RNAcentral lists this long non-coding RNA (561 nucleotides) under Ananas comosus (pineapple). RNAcentral describes it as "long non-coding RNA (ACOM_LNC000331)". Lineage: Eukaryota; Viridiplantae; Streptophyta; Magnoliopsida; Poales; Bromeliaceae. The record is from RNAcentral.